This 84-nucleotide transfer RNA is filed under the name Porphyridium purpureum. Its description in RNAcentral is "tRNA-Leu". It matches the Rfam family "tRNA". Rfam says of the family: Transfer RNA (tRNA) molecules are approximately 80 nucleotides in length. Their secondary structure includes four short double-helical elements and three loops (D, anti-codon, and T loops). Further hydrogen bonds mediate the characteristic L-shaped molecular structure. tRNAs have two regions of fundamental functional importance: the anti-codon, which is responsible for specific mRNA codon recognition, and the 3' end, to which the tRNAs corresponding amino acid is attached (by aminoacyl-tRNA synthetases). tRNAs cope with the degeneracy of the genetic code in two manners: having more than one tRNA (with a specific anti-codon) for a particular amino acid; and 'wobble' base-pairing, i.e. permitting non-standard base-pairing at the 3rd anti-codon position. The record is from RNAcentral. Lineage: Eukaryota; Rhodophyta; Bangiophyceae; Porphyridiales; Porphyridiaceae.
GGGGGUGUGGUGGAAUGGUAGACACAACAGACUUAAAAUCUGUUGAUCAUAUCGGUCGUAAGGGUUCAAGUCCCUUUGCCCCUA